AGUGAACGCUGGCGGUAGGCCUAACACAUGCAAGUCGAACGGCAGCACAGUAAGAGCUUGCUCUUACGGGUGGCGAGUGGCGGACGUGUGAGGAAUACAUCGGAAUCUACUUUUUCGUGGGGGAUAACGUAGGGAAACUUACGCUAAUACCGCAUACGACCUACGGGUGAAAGCAGGGGAUCUUCGGACCUUGCGCGAUUGAAUGAGCCGAUGUCGGAUUAGCUAGUUGGCGGGGUAAAGGCCCACCAAGGCGACGAUCCGUAGCUGGUCUGAGAGGAUGAUCAGCCACACUGGAACUGAGACACGGUCCAGAGUCCUACGGGAGGCAGCAGUGGGGAAUAUUGGACAAUGGGCGCAAGCCUGAUCCAGCCAUACCGCGUGGGUGAAGAAGGCCUUCGGGUUGUAAAGCCCUUUUGUUGGGAAAGAAAAGCAGCAGGUUAAUACCCCGCUGUUCUGACGGUACCCAAAGAAUAAGCACCGGCUAACUUCGUG
RNAcentral lists this ribosomal RNA (492 nucleotides) under uncultured bacterium. Its description in RNAcentral is "partial 16S ribosomal RNA". It matches the Rfam family "Bacterial small subunit ribosomal RNA", at positions 29 to 507 of the family's 1533-position model. The record is from RNAcentral.